This 1310-nucleotide long non-coding RNA is filed under the name Pan troglodytes (chimpanzee). RNAcentral's name for it is "lincRNA". The record is from RNAcentral. Lineage: Eukaryota; Metazoa; Chordata; Mammalia; Primates; Hominidae.
CCAAUCAGCAUGUGGCAUUCCACAAGCCUUGGAGAUUGGCUGAGAAGUGAGCAUGUGACCUGAUCAAAGUUGAGAAUGCUGGGGCAAGGUGGUUUCACUUCUCCUGCAGGUUUCACUUCCUGGGAAGCUGGAAAACUUUUCUGAAACUCCAGAGAGAUGAUAAGUUGCUUUUCCCCAAAUGUGGACUCUGACUGGAGAUGCAGAAUUGUCAAAGGGGACUGGAUUCUUAAGCAUUCAAUUGCUCAUGAAUCUCUCUAAAAACAUUACAUGCUUUUGAUCUCAUGUCAGCCCUGAACGUUGGCACGCCAGGCCCACAACCAUGUGCUGGGAGAUCACACAUGCACCAGGCCCCUUCCGUUUUGAAAACUUGCGGGGAUGUGGGUGCUACGGUCCUGCCUGGAGUUACCCUUUCAUUAAAUAUAUAAAUCCAUCAUUUCUCCCACCUCAUGAUGGGACCUCGGUUGAUCCAGGGGCUUCGUGCUCCCCGUCUGCUCUUGUCCCAUCAUCUUGACCCUUCCUUCACCUGGAAUUCAUGCCACAGCGCGAGGCUGUGUGCACGGUGCUUCUGCGGAGGCCCAUGGCUGGAACUGGAGCCGGCGGACUUCCUGUCCCACUGGCCUGUCCCAGGGGGGACCAGAGGUGUUUUCCAGUGGGUUCUGACUUCCACAAGGAUCAACCAUGGACUGUGCAAAUUAGUGCUAUGUGGCUUCAAACACCCAGGGCUCCAGGACACAAACAAAUUACUGAUUAACUUAAAGCUCCAUUUCUGGAGUCCCCAUCCCUUCUAAGGAGAUCUUCAAGUGCAGUUCUGGCCACAGGGCCAGUGCCUGGGGAGUCAAGUGAUAGCUUCAGCUCCACGUCUUGGUGCUUUGGAUUAAGGGAAGGAGAUACACUGCUUCCAUUCCAAGGUUGAGAUCGGACCAUACACUUUUUUCUCUUGAUUUCCAGAAUGCGUGGGAACGGCUAAGGUUACCAAACAUACCUCUCUUGAUGGCACAGAAAUCUCUCUCUCUCUCUUUUUGUUUUUUUAAUGCCAAAUUCUACCCUUUGAAAAAUGCAGAAGCCCAUUAAAGAUUAAGACUACAAACAAGCUUAAAACACAUCUUAACUGCAUUCACAAAGGUCGCAGGUGUAGGCAGGUCAAAGUGAUAUCUUGUUCUCCUAAAUAUUUCAACAGAUAAACAAACUUUUGAUUGCGUUAUCUGCUCGAAAAAAUGACUUUGAACUUUCCGCCAGCACCGCCUACUUGGGUUUACUCAAACCCGCAGAGGCCCAGCCGACCGAUAAAGAACCUUGAGUGGUCGCCUGAU